AUUGAACGCUGGCGGCAUGCCUUACACAUGCAAGUCGAACGGCAGCACGGGAGCAAUCCUGGUGGCGAGUGGCGAACGGGUGAGUAAAGUAUCGGAACGUGCCCAGUCGUGGGGGAUAACGUAGCGAAAGUUACGCUAAUACCGCAUACGAUCUAUGGAUGAAAGCGGGGGAUCGCAAGACAUCGCGCGAUUGGAGCGGCCGAUAUCAGAUUAGGUAGUUGGGGGGGUAAAGGCUCACCAAGCCGACGAUCUGUAGCUGAUCUGAGAGGACGACCAGCCACACUGGGACUGAGACACGGCCCAGACUCCUACGGGAGGCAGCAGUGGGGAAUUUUGGACAAUGGGCGCAAGCCUGAUCCAGCCAUGCCGCGUGCAGGAUGAAGGCCUUCGGGUUGUAAACUGCUUUUGUACGGAACGAAAAGGUUUGACUUAAUACGUUGGACUCAUGACGGUACCGUAAGAAUAAGCACCGGCUAACUACGUGCCAGCAGCCGCCGUAA
Molecule: ribosomal RNA, 500 nt
Filed under: uncultured bacterium
Lineage: Bacteria
Description: partial 16S ribosomal RNA
Rfam family: Bacterial small subunit ribosomal RNA
Source: RNAcentral